UCUGUUUGAGUAUUUAUUUAUUUAUUUAUUUAUUGAGAUUCAUAUCAUUUAACCCUUUGAGUGGUAUGGGCGCACAUAUGCGCCCAGCGAAAGCUAUCGAUGUAGACUAUGGAUGCGAAUAUGCGCUCGGCGGAUGCUAUCGGUAUGGACUAUGGACGCAAAUAUGCGCCUGGGGAAAAUGAUCACUGUACUAUGGUCAAAUGUAUAUGCUCGGCAAUUGUUUCUAUUGCAUGAAAAAAUAUUCAGCACUCAAAGGGUUAAAUGAAAUAUACUUUGUUAUAACAUAACAUAUUGUAAAUAUAAUA
This is a long non-coding RNA of Vespa mandarinia (Asian giant hornet), 305 nucleotides long. NCBI's taxonomy places the organism in Eukaryota, Metazoa, Arthropoda, Insecta, Hymenoptera, Vespidae. The record is from RefSeq and is a predicted model, not a curated record.